CACAAAGUUGGUGAGGGAACUGGUGGCCAAUCAGGACCUAAUGAAUCUCAACAGCAAUCUGAGUACAGCCAAUCACAUAUUGCAGAGUGAUUAUAGCAAUGUUAGCACUGCAAACCAACGUUUAGCGGCUGAGAAAGAAAAGAUGUCAAGAGAGAGGGAUAGACUGAACUGGAAUCUUCGGGUCAUAUAUCAGCUUGAUGAUUUUCCUGUCAAGAAAUAUUGUUCACAAAAAAAUGGCACAGGAGUUGUUACCUGAUUUUGCACCCUGCCGCUCCAUGGAAGACCUGGACACAAAGCCAACAAUAUUGCAAACAAGAGAAUGCUGAUUUGGCUGUCAUUGGCAGCCAAGAGGAACAGGAAUUCAUUAGUAACCACACUCAACACUACUAUGAUGAACAUCAUGGGUACUGGAUCGGCCUGACUGACAAAGCUAAAGUCGGCCAAUGGCUCUGGGUUAACGGAAGUAAUCAGAAUCAGACUGAUGGGUUUUGGAACAGUCAAACUGGAGGUAAUUGCGUGGUAACUGUCCCAAAUAAUGCACCAUUGGCUAAUUGGAAGGCUGCAUCGUGUUUCAUGGAGAACCGUUGGAUCUGUGAGAGUAGAGCAUUAAUAUGGUCAGAUUAAAUUGAGUUUUAUUCUUCUAAUUUAAGGACCCAUGACAUCUGUCUGUUGGGGCCAAUUCGAAUUCACUCAAUUCAGGAAGUGAUUUAAAUAUCAAAUUCACAAUGGAAAACCUUCAUUGGCUGACCCCAACAUGGGUCUGUUUUGCACGUUUUUUAUAUGUUAACAAUCAAGGAUCUGUUGUAAUGUAGCUAUAGUGUAUUAAAAAAAUUAUGUUUAGUUUUGAGCUUUCAUAUAAAUCAGGCACAUUUUCUUUAAUAUUAAUAAUUUCACUUUGACAAUGAAUUAAUGUUUUUCUAAUGUCUUAUUGUAUUAUGUUCUGUACAGUUGUUGCUAUGUUCACAAUAAAAUAUCAACCGUAUGUAUAGUAGUGUUUUAGAAUAACAUUUGUUUUGGCCUUUCAUAGAUCCGAAAUCAUAUAAUAUUCAG
Molecule: long non-coding RNA, 1050 nt
Organism: Coregonus clupeaformis (lake whitefish)
Lineage: Eukaryota; Metazoa; Chordata; Actinopteri; Salmoniformes; Salmonidae
Exons: 4
Source: RefSeq, a predicted model, not a curated record